Molecule: long non-coding RNA, 2688 nt
Organism: Aedes aegypti (yellow fever mosquito)
Lineage: Eukaryota; Metazoa; Arthropoda; Insecta; Diptera; Culicidae
Exons: 2
Source: RefSeq, a predicted model, not a curated record
GCAUUGCGUACCACAUAUCAAUAUUUUCUUCGAAAUUUCAAAUUAGAUAAGAUAACUGAAAAACUAAGUGACGAUAGGUGAGCUGUGUAUUUGAACGCAAUAAAAGUGGAAGGAAGGCAACAGUGUUACGCAGCAGAUUGAACCAUUCGGACUCAAAGCGGUUUGUUCAGUUAAAAAUUGUUGGCAAAGUGAUACCACAUCUUUGGACGAUCCCAUCAUUUUAAGUUUCCAUGUGGUGCAGACAGUGCGAUCAAUUUAACCAAAAGUUGGUAACCUACGAACAAGUAUUGCAUAGCGGAUAAACCAUUCGCAAAGUGAAGUGAAAUAAACUGUGCAUAAGCGAGAAAAAUCUUUGACUCCACUAGUCCGUUGAAGGAUUUCAAAUACUGCAGUUACUACUUGUGAGCAGUUUCAGUUGAAUACAAAAUUGAGAGAGAUAUUUCAAUGAGUUACCAUAACAUGGAAGCUCAACAGGCAUCAACAUCUUCUGACAGGUACGAAUGUGGAAGUAAUCCCGGAAACCAUGGCAUCAGUUACGAGAAGGAUCUCGCAUUCGUAACCUUUGUAGCGGCUUCCUUGGAAGAAAGUAAGUUCAAGCUGGCCGUAGAGAUGACGGCAGCAGAGAAAUUCGAUGACGUGGUAGUUUUCAAAGAAGAAUCCAAAGAGGUGUUGUUAUUCCAGGCCAAACAUUCCAAUAAUGGAGGUCACGUAUUGUACGACGACCUACUCUCUGAUGAUCCGAGAAAAAGCAAAGACUUUGCUUUUCCUCGGUAUAUUCAGUCGUAUCUGAGGAUUAGAGAAAACAAAGUUUUUGAAGGUUAUAAACCAACAAUCAUUAUAUUCACUAAUAAAUCACUGAAACGAACCGAUGAGCUUAACCAGUUGAUGAAUAUCCAAGUACAAAACGUGAACAGCAUGUUUAAAUGGUGCGUUUCUAAGAAAAAUUUUUGUUUUGAGCCACUUAACGAUGAAGCAGUCAGAAAAAUUAAAGAUAUAAUAAAUUCAGAGCUGUACAAAAUCAAAACAGACAUAGAAGAACUUGUAAAAACUGGAAAAAUUUCCGAUUUGCUGAUGCAAUACAAGACACCCUUGCAAAAUAUUCUUCAAAUUGCUGAUGGAAUAAUACGUUUCAAAGAGCCUGCAGAUGAUAGCAAAGAUAUGAGAACUUAUCGAUGGAUGCUUGCCAAGUUAGCCAAGUUGAAGCCGAUUAGAUUAGAUGAAAAAACUGUUAAAAGCUUGAAUAGUUUUUUUUUUACCGGAAAAUCGAGGAACAAUCUUCUUCCUGUGAUUGUAGAAGAAGAACAAAUGCGGGACUUUUUUCAAAGUUUAAUUUUCUGUACAGAACAACCAACUGACCUAAGAAGUGUUGCCGAGAAAAUGAUAAGCUCCUGGAUGCCACGGUGGGUUGACAGUGAUCUUGCACGGGAAUUAAAAUAUUUUGACACAGUCUUCAACAAAUGGCACGCACAAACACUGAAACAAAAAGACUAUCUUACAUUUCACAAACAGGGUUUGGAUUGCAUUCAAAAUAUGAAGUCAGAAUUAGAGAAAAAAUUUGAAAGGAAACAUUCUUCGAUUGCAGCCAAUUUGUCAAUAUAUGUCUCGCGCACCAUAAUUAAAACAAUAAAUAAAAAAGACGACGACAAAAUAGCACCACAAACUAAUCGCUUUACAUUGAAUCACGAAUCAUUUGAAAGGAUGAGCAAAGUACACACUAUCCAAAUGAGCGAUCAGGAUUUUAUAGAACAGAUGUAUCAGCAGAAUGCGAUAUCAGCAGGAACGAAAUGUCAAAUACUGAUUGGAGAACCCGGUAUGGGAAAAACCACAUUAAUUUAUAAGUUGUUUUGGCAAUCACGAAACCUAAAAAAUGUAGCCGUUUAUCUAAUCCGUUUAAAAAAUCUUAAUUUUCGCGAAGAAAAAAAAAGUGAUCCCCUGCACAUCUUCGAACAUGAAUUGCCCCAAGAGAGUGGGAAUAUUUUGCGACAUUAUUUGGAAAGUUCGGAAAUUCAAAUUGUAUUCCUUUUAGAUGGGUUUGAUGAAAUGAAUCCAGCUCACCAACAUUCAGUACUGACAAUAUUUGAACAAAUUCUGGAGAAAAACAACACUCAAUGCAUAAUUACGGGAAGGAAACAUGUUUGCAAACUGCUCGAGGACAGAUUUAAAGCGCAUGCGUUGAAGCUGAAACCGUUCGAUUACAACGAACAAGUAAAAUUUUUAAAAUUGUUUUGGAGGGUGGAAGGCAGUGAAGCUCUUUUCAUGAAAUUUGCCGAGCAGUUGCUCAAAAAGUUCCAUAACGAAAUCAAAGGGAACGAUUACGACUUCGCAGGGCUUCCCCUGAUGAUACGAAUGUUGGCCGAGGUUUAUGCUGAAGAUUUUCAAAAGUUUCUCAAAACAGAAACAACUGAUGCAACUUGUACAUUUGAGUCGGAAAAACUUAAUGUACUUAAUUUGUUUGAAAAGUUUGUGAAAAUAUCUUUCAACUUAAAAAUGAAGAGUAAGGAUAGAAAAGCUGUAUACGCUUAUGAUGAAAUUGAGGAUGAAAUUGAUGAGGAAAUAGAACCUAGUUUUGACUUCUUUAUGGAACAACUUAAAUUGUUAGCCAUCCAAUAUUUGGAAAUCGAAGAGUUGCAAGAUGUUAUAAAGAAACCUCCGUUUAAUAAAAACAUCAAUCGACUUCUGGAACGUUUU